AUUGAACGCUGGCGGCAUGCCUUACACAUGCAAGUCGAACGGCAGCACGGACUUCGGUCUGGUGGCGAGUGGCGAACGGGUGAGUAAUGUAUCGGAACGUACCUUUCAGUGGGGGAUAACGUAGCGAAAGUUACGUUAAUACCGCAUAUUCUGUGAGCAGGAAAGCAGGGGAUCGCAAGACCUUGCGCUGAUUGAGCGGCCGAUAUCAGAUUAGCUAGUUGGUGGGGUAAAGGCCUACCAAGGCUACGAUCUGUAGCGGGUCUGAGAGGAUGAUCCGCCACACUGGAACUGAGACACGGUCCAGACUCCUACGGGAGGCAGCAGUGGGGAAUUUUGGACAAUGGGGGCAACCCUGAUCCAGCCAUGCCGCGUGAGUGAAGAAGGCCUUCGGGUUGUAAAGCCCUUUCGGCCGGGAAGAAAUCGCAUAGGUUAAUACCCUGUGUGGAUGACGGUACCGGAAUAAGAAGCACCGGCUAACUACCUGCCAGCAGCCGCGGUAAUACGUAGGGUGCGAGCGUUAAUCGGAAUUACUGGGCGUAAAGCGUGCGCAGGCGGUUUCGUAAGACAGAGGUGAAAUCCCCGGGCUCAACCUGGGAACUGCCUUUGUGACUGCGAGGCUAGAGUACGGCAGAGGGGGGUGGAAUUCCACGUGUAGCAGUGAAAUGCGUAGAGAUGUGGAGGAACACCGAUGGCGAAGGCAGCCCCCUGGGCCGAUACUGACGCUCAUGCACGAAAGCUUGGGUAGCAAAC
This 750-nucleotide ribosomal RNA is filed under the name uncultured Dechloromonas sp. RNAcentral's name for it is "bacterial SSU rRNA". It matches the Rfam family "Bacterial small subunit ribosomal RNA", at positions 28 to 773 of the family's 1533-position model. The record is from RNAcentral. Lineage: Bacteria; Pseudomonadati; Pseudomonadota; Betaproteobacteria; Rhodocyclales; Azonexaceae.